UACCCCAAACCGACACAGGUGGUCAGGUAGAGAAUACCAAGGCGCUUGAGAGAACUCGGGUGAAGGAACUAGGCAAAAUGGUGCCGUAACUUCGGGAGAAGGCACGCUGAUAUGUAGGUGAAGCGACCUGCUCGUGGAGCUGAAAUCAGUCGAAGAUACCAGCUGGCUGCAACUGUUUAUUAAAAACACAGCACUGUGCAAACACGAAAGUGGACGUAUACGGUGUGACGCCUGCCCGGUGCCGGAAGGUUAAUU
This 255-nucleotide ribosomal RNA is filed under the name Escherichia marmotae. RNAcentral's name for it is "partial 23S ribosomal RNA". It matches the Rfam family "Bacterial large subunit ribosomal RNA", at positions 1645 to 1882 of the family's 2925-position model. The record is from RNAcentral. Lineage: Bacteria; Pseudomonadati; Pseudomonadota; Gammaproteobacteria; Enterobacterales; Enterobacteriaceae.